ACACCUCCAGAGAGGAGAUCCUGGGAGCUCUGGCACUGGCUGAGAGGGUGAAGGGGCUGGCCAAGACCAUCUCUGCCACACUCUGGGACCCUGAGGAGGAGAUUGCGGCGCGCCGGCGGGAGAUGCGCGGGCUGCGGAUGGAGCUGCUGGCUGGGCCCGGCCGCCCGGAGCAGAGGAGAGCUGUGGCCCAGCUGCAGAGAGCCCUGCGGGAGCUGCAGGUGCUGAAGAGUCAAAGGUGGGAGAAAAAGCAGGCAGUGGCCAAGGUGCUUGGGACAGCUGAGAUGCACCAGCCGAGUGCUGAGGACCAGGUCUCUGCAGGGAAUACAGCUCCACGCCAGCAGCCUGGGACCCACACACCCCCGAGCAGUGGCAGCCUGGAGCCAGCAGAGCCGGAGCGUGGGGCCAGGCACGCAUCCAGCUGGGUGGAGGGACGAUGUGACAGCAAAAGCCAGGGAGGGGACAGCCGAGCUCUGGCCAGCGCAGGGCAGGGGCUGCUGGAGGAGCCAUCCCAGAGCAAAGUGUCACAGGCACAGCCACGGCCCGGGUGUGACAGCGUGAGUGGGAGCCUGCAGGGUCCCUGUGCAGGGCCAGCCCUGCUGCCAGCACUGGCUCCUGGUGCCACCCGAGCCCGCUCUGCUCUCCUGCAGGCAGGGAGCCGGUGCCAGCCGUGCCCAGCCCCACAGGUCCGGCGUGCCCUGGCCAGGGCGCAGCGGCAGCGGCUGCGGGCUCAGCACUGCCGGCAGCUCCAGCGAGAGCUCGGGGCCAGCACUGCGCUGGCCCAGGAGCA
This 787-nucleotide long non-coding RNA is filed under the name Taeniopygia guttata (zebra finch). RNAcentral's name for it is "lncRNA (ENSTGUG00000020468.1)". Lineage: Eukaryota; Metazoa; Chordata; Aves; Passeriformes; Estrildidae. The record is from RNAcentral.